RNAcentral lists this ribosomal RNA (253 nucleotides) under uncultured bacterium. Its description in RNAcentral is "partial 16S ribosomal RNA". It matches the Rfam family "Bacterial small subunit ribosomal RNA", at positions 524 to 776 of the family's 1533-position model. The record is from RNAcentral.
CACGUAGGGCGCAAGCGUUGUCCGGAAUUAUUGGGCGUAAAGAGCUCGUAGGCGGACUGUCACGUCUGCUGUGAAAAGCUAGGGCUUAACCCUGGCCUUGCAGUGGAUACGGGCAGACUAGAGGUAGGUAGGGGAGAAUGGAAUUCCCGGUGUAGCGGUGAAAUGCGCAGAUAUCGGGAGGAACACCGGUGGCGAAGGCGGUUCUCUGGGCCUUACCUGACGCUGAGGCGCGAAAGCGUGGGGAGCGAACAGG